RNAcentral lists this ribosomal RNA (3011 nucleotides) under Salmonella enterica subsp. enterica serovar Uganda. RNAcentral's name for it is "23S ribosomal RNA". It matches the Rfam family "Bacterial large subunit ribosomal RNA". Lineage: Bacteria; Pseudomonadati; Pseudomonadota; Gammaproteobacteria; Enterobacterales; Enterobacteriaceae. The record is from RNAcentral.
GGGUUGUGAGGUUAAGCGACUAAGCGUACACGGUGGAUGCCCUGGCAGUCAGAGGCGAUGAAGGGCGUGCUAAUCUGCGAUAAGCGCCGGUAAGGUGAUAUGAACCGUUAUAACCGGCGAUACCCGAAUGGGGAAACCCAGUGUGACUCGUCACACUAUCAUUAACUGAAUCCAUAGGUUAAUGAGGCGAACCGGGGGAACUGAAACAUCUAAGUACCCCGAGGAAAAGAAAUCAACCGAGAUUCCCCCAGUAGCGGCGAGCGAACGGGGAGGAGCCCAGAGCCUGAAUCAGCAUGUGUGUUAGUGGAAGCGUCUGGAAAGGCGCGCGAUACAGGGUGACAGCCCCGUACACAAAAGCGCAUGUGCUGUGAGCUCGAUGAGUAGGGCGGGACACGUGGUAUCCUGUCUGAAUAUGGGGGGACCAUCCUCCAAGGCUAAAUACUCCUGACUGACCGAUAGUGAACCAGUACCGUGAGGGAAAGGCGAAAAGAACCCCGGCGAGGGGAGUGAAAAAGAACCUGAAACCGUGUACGUACAAGCAGUGGGAGCACAGGUUUACCUGUGUGACUGCGUACCUUUUGUAUAAUGGGUCAGCGACUUAUAUUCUGUAGCAAGGUUAACCGAAUAGGGGAGCCGGAGGGAAACCGAGUCUUAAUUGGGCGUUAAGUUGCAGGGUAUAGACCCGAAACCCGGUGAUCUAGCCAUGGGCAGGUUGAAGGUUGGGUAACACUAACUGGAGGACCGAACCGACUAAUGUUGAAAAAUUAGCGGAUGACCUGUGGCUGGGGGUGAAAGGCCAAUCAAACCGGGAGAUAGCUGGUUCUCCCCGAAAGCUAUUUAGGUAGCGCCUCGUGAAUUCAUCUCCGGGGGUAGAGCACUGUUUCGGCUAGGGGGCCAUCCCGGCUUACCAACCCGAUGCAAACUGCGAAUACCGGAGAAUGUUAUCACGGGAGACACACGGCGGGUGCUAACGUCCGUCGUGAAGAGGGAAACAACCCAGACCGCCAGCUAAGGUCCCAAAGUCAUGGUUAAGUGGGAAACGAUGUGGGAAGGCCCAGACAGCCAGGAUGUUGGCUUAGAAGCAGCCAUCAUUUAAAGAAAGCGUAAUAGCUCACUGGUCGAGUCGGCCUGCGCGGAAGAUGUAACGGGGCUAAACCAUGCACCGAAGCUGCGGCAGCGAACGUAUCACCCAAGACAACUUUACGGAGUUGACGAUUGACGGAGCGAAGCGACGUCAAAGCGUUCAUUAAAGUCGAGUUGGCUUAGGGAUACGUUCGUUGGGUAGGGGAGCGUUCUGUAAGCCUGUGAAGGUGGCCUGUGAGGGUUGCUGGAGGUAUCAGAAGUGCGAAUGCUGACAUAAGUAACGAUAAAGCGGGUGAAAAGCCCGCUCGCCGGAAGACCAAGGGUUCCUGUCCAACGUUAAUCGGGGCAGGGUGAGUCGACCCCUAAGGCGAGGCCGAAAGGCGUAGUCGAUGGGAAACGGGUUAAUAUUCCCGUACUUGGUGUUACUGCGAAGGGGGGACGGAGAAGGCUAUGUUGGCCGGGCGACGGUUGUCCCGGUUUAAGCGUGUAGGCUGGUUUUCCAGGCAAAUCCGGAAAAUCAAGGCUGAGGCGUGACGACGAGGCACUACGGUGCUGAAGCAACAAAUGCCCUGCUUCCAGGAAAAGCCUCUAAGCAUCAGGUAACAUCAAAUCGUACCCCAAACCGACACAGGUGGUCAGGUAGAGAAUACCAAGGCGCUUGAGAGAACUCGGGUGAAGGAACUAGGCAAAAUGGUGCCGUAACUUCGGGAGAAGGCACGCUGACACGUAGGUGAAGUGAUUUACUCAUGGAGCUGAAGUCAGUCGAAGAUACCAGCUGGCUGCAACUGUUUAUUAAAAACACAGCACUGUGCAAACACGAAAGUGGACGUAUACGGUGUGACGCCUGCCCGGUGCCGGAAGGUUAAUUGAUGGGGUCAGCGCAAGCGAAGCUCCUGAUCGAAGCCCCGGUAAACGGCGGCCGUAACUAUAACGGUCCUAAGGUAGCGAAAUUCCUUGUCGGGUAAGUUCCGACCUGCACGAAUGGCGUAAUGAUGGCCAGGCUGUCUCCACCCGAGACUCAGUGAAAUUGAACUCGCUGUGAAGAUGCAGUGUACCCGCGGCAAGACGGAAAGACCCCGUGAACCUUUACUAUAGCUUGACACUGAACAUUGAGCCUUGAUGUGUAGGAUAGGUGGGAGGCUUUGAAGUGUGGACGCCAGUCUGCAUGGAGCCGACCUUGAAAUACCACCCUUUAAUGUUUGAUGUUCUAACGUGGACCCGUAAUCCGGGUUGCGGACAGUGUCUGGUGGGUAGUUUGACUGGGGCGGUCUCCUCCUAAAGAGUAACGGAGGAGCACGAAGGUUGGCUAAUCCUGGUCGGACAUCAGGAGGUUAGUGCAAUGGCAUAAGCCAGCUUGACUGCGAGCGUGACGGCGCGAGCAGGUGCGAAAGCAGGUCAUAGUGAUCCGGUGGUUCUGAAUGGAAGGGCCAUCGCUCAACGGAUAAAAGGUACUCCGGGGAUAACAGGCUGAUACCGCCCAAGAGUUCAUAUCGACGGCGGUGUUUGGCACCUCGAUGUCGGCUCAUCACAUCCUGGGGCUGAAGUAGGUCCCAAGGGUAUGGCUGUUCGCCAUUUAAAGUGGUACGCGAGCUGGGUUUAGAACGUCGUGAGACAGUUCGGUCCCUAUCUGCCGUGGGCGCUGGAGAACUGAGGGGGGCUGCUCCUAGUACGAGAGGACCGGAGUGGACGCAUCACUGGUGUUCGGGUUGUCAUGCCAAUGGCACUGCCCGGUAGCUAAAUGCGGAAGAGAUAAGUGCUGAAAGCAUCUAAGCACGAAACUUGCCCCGAGAUGAGUUCUCCCUGAGACUUUAGGUCUCCUGAAGGAACGUUGAAGACGACGACGUUGAUAGGCCGGGUGUGUAAGCGCAGCGAUGCGUUGAGCUAACCGGUACUAAUGAACCGUGAGGCUUAACCUUACAACGCCGAAG